This 253-nucleotide ribosomal RNA is filed under the name uncultured bacterium. RNAcentral's name for it is "partial 16S ribosomal RNA". It matches the Rfam family "Bacterial small subunit ribosomal RNA", at positions 524 to 776 of the family's 1533-position model. The record is from RNAcentral.
UACGUAGGGGGCUAGCGUUGUCCGGAAUCAUUGGGCGUAAAGCGCGCGUAGGCGGCCCGGUAAGUCCGCUGUGAAAGUCAAAGGCUCAACCUUUGAAUGUCAGCGGAUACUGCCGGGCUAGAAUCCGGAAGAGGCGAGUGGAACUCCUGGUGUAGCGGUGGAAUGCGCAGAUAUCAGGAAGAACACCAACGGCGAAGGCAGCUCGCUGGGACGGAACUGACGCUAAGGCGCGAAAGCUAGGGGAGCAAACAGG